CGCGACCGAUCAGGUUGUUGGUGAGGUAAUGGCUCACCAAGCCUUUUACCGGUGCGGGCCGUGGGAGCGGGAGCCCGGAGAUGGGUACUGAGACAAGGACCCAGGCCCUACGGGGCGCAGCAGUCGCGAAACCUUUGCAAUACACGAAAGUGUGACAGGGCUAUCCCGAGUGCCAUCCGCUGAGGAAGGCUUUUACCCAGUCUAGAACGCUGGGGGAAUAAGGAGAGGGCAAGUCUGGUGUCAGCCGCCGCGGUAAUACCGGCUCUCCGAGUGGUGUGGAUGUUUAUUGGGCCUAAAGCAUCCGUAGCUGGCUAGGUAAGUCCCUUGUUAAAUCCACCGAAUUAAUCGUUGGAUCGCGGGGGAUACUGCUUGGCUAGGGGACAAGAGAGGCAGACGGUAUUUUCGGGGUAGGGGUGAAAUCCUAUAAUCCCGGGAAGACCACCAGUGGCGAAGGCUGUCUGCUAGAACGCGCCCGACGGUGAGGGAUGAAAGCUGGGGGAGCGAACCGGAUUAGAUACCCGGGUAGUCCCAGCUGUAAACGAUGCAGACUAGGUGUUUGGACGGCCACGUGCCGUUCUAGUGCCGCAGGGAAGCUGUUAAGUCUGCCGCCUGGGGAGUACGAUCGCAAGAUUGAAACUUAAAGGAAUUGGCGGGGGAGCAC
Molecule: ribosomal RNA, 661 nt
Filed under: uncultured archaeon
Lineage: Archaea
Description: bacterial SSU rRNA
Rfam family: Archaeal small subunit ribosomal RNA
Source: RNAcentral